GACGAACGCUGGCGGUGUGCUUAACACAUGCAAGUCGAACGGUAAGGCCCUUUCGGGGGUACACGAGUGGCGAACGGGGGAGUAACACGUGAGUAACCUGCCCUCAUCUCUGGGAUAACAGUCGGAAACGGUUGCUAAUACUGGAGAUGAGCUUGCAAGGCAUCUUGUGGGGUGGAAAGAUUUUUUUGGUUGGGGAUGGACUCGCGGCCUAUCAGCGUGUUGGUGAGGUAGUGGCUCACCAAGGCUUCGACGGGUAGCCGGCCUGAGAGGGCGACCGGCCACAGUGGGACUGGGAUACGGCCCAAACUCCUACGGGUGGCAGCAGUGGGGAAUGUUGCACAAUGGACGUGAGUCUGAUGCAGCAACGCCGCGUGCGGGAUGACGGCCUUCGGGUUGUAAUCCGCUUUCAAUUGUGACGAAGCUUUUUGUGACGGUAGCAGUAGAAGAAGCACCGGCUAACUACGUG
This 466-nucleotide ribosomal RNA is filed under the name uncultured bacterium. Its description in RNAcentral is "partial 16S ribosomal RNA". It matches the Rfam family "Bacterial small subunit ribosomal RNA", at positions 28 to 507 of the family's 1533-position model. The record is from RNAcentral.